UAGACAUGAAGGAGAAAGGAAAGGAUAAGGGAGAAAAAAGAAAGGACAGAGAGAAAAAAAUGAACAAUCAGAGUAAAGGUAGCAAGCAUUCUCUAACUCCUGACCUCGAGUGAUCCUCCUGCCUCAACCUCCCAAAGUGCUGGGACUACAGGCGUGAGCCACCGCGCGGGGCCUCAACCAGCAUUCUCUAGAGCGGUGGAUCCCAAAUGCCAUCUGAGGACCAGCAACAGCAGCAGCAUCCGGUUAAUGGAGUCAUGGUGACACUGACAAUUCUUCCUGUCUUGGCAUCUGACAGAGGAUUUGAAACCGAAUGUUGAACUCAUGUUAGGAAAGUGAAGCAGCAGGUUCUCUGGAGAGAGAUGGUCUCUGCAUAGCAGAAAUGGAGUUCCCCCAAGGGAAGCGAGUCUGGCCGCUGGGGCGCUGGCUUCCUCACUGAGACACCAGAGAGGGAGCCUUCUUCCACAUUGUCAUCUGAAGAUUUCUCAUCAUUAGACUCUCUCAGCGCACCCAGAAUGGGACAUGGUGGGUCUGCAGAAAAGGAAACAGUGUUUCCAGAUCCUUCUAGACACACGCUUAGUGCAUUAAAGGAAAAUCAUUCACAGUCUAAAUGGGUU
This 614-nucleotide long non-coding RNA is filed under the name Pan troglodytes (chimpanzee). RNAcentral describes it as "lincRNA". The record is from RNAcentral. Lineage: Eukaryota; Metazoa; Chordata; Mammalia; Primates; Hominidae.